This 252-nucleotide ribosomal RNA is filed under the name uncultured bacterium. RNAcentral describes it as "partial 16S ribosomal RNA". It matches the Rfam family "Bacterial small subunit ribosomal RNA", at positions 524 to 776 of the family's 1533-position model. The record is from RNAcentral.
UACGGAGGAUGCGAGCGUUAUCCGGAUUUAUUGGGUUUAAAGGGUGCGUAGGCGGGCUUUUAAGUCAGCGGUAAAAAUUCGGGGCUCAACCUCGUCGAGCCGUUGAAACUGGGUGCCUUGAGUGGGCGAGAAGUACGCGGAAUGCGUGGUGUAGCGGUGAAAUGCAUAGAUAUCACGCAGAACUCCGAUUGCGAAGGCAGCGUACCGGCGCCCUACUGACGCUGAAGCACGAAGGCGUGGGUAUCGAACAGG